AUACGUAGGGUGCGAGCGUUGUCCGGAAUUACUGGGCGUAAAGAGCUCGUAGGUGGUUUGUCGCGUCGUCUGUGAAAUUCCGGGGCUUAACUCCGGGCGUGCAGGCGAUACGGGCAUAACUUGAGUACUGUAGGGGAGACUGGAAUUCCUGGUGUCGCGGGGAAAUGCGCAGAUAUCAGGAGGAACACAGGUGGCGAAGGCGGGUCUCUGGGCAGUAACUGACGCUGAGGAGCGAAAGCAUGGGUAGCGAACAGGAUUAGAUACCCUGGUAGUCCAUGCCGUAAACGGUGGGCGCUAGGUGUAGGGGUCUUCCACGACUUCUGUGCCGUAGCUAACGCAUUAAGCGCCCCGCCUGGGGAGUACGGCCGCAAGGCUAAAACUCAAAUGAAUUGACGGGG
Molecule: ribosomal RNA, 398 nt
Filed under: uncultured bacterium
Lineage: Bacteria
Description: partial 16S ribosomal RNA
Rfam family: Bacterial small subunit ribosomal RNA
Source: RNAcentral